Molecule: ribosomal RNA, 1452 nt
Filed under: Triticum aestivum (bread wheat)
Lineage: Eukaryota; Viridiplantae; Streptophyta; Magnoliopsida; Poales; Poaceae
Description: partial small subunit ribosomal RNA
Source: RNAcentral
AUGCAAUUGGGUCUCCGCUUGGAUCUUCAGGUCGUUAGCCUUCUCAAAGUCCGUUGGCUCUCCGUCCUCGCUGUCCUCUCUCUUCAGAUGCCUCACACUGAUCUUUCCGAUCUGCAUCAUGGGCUUAGCGAGCAGUCUAUCCGUGUUCGCGUGUCUCGUCUCUGGCAUUAUCGCGGUGGUCUUGAGGAUGGCCCUACCAAGCUUCUGCACAUGGUUCUUGUAGAUGCUAAGGGUGACUCUGGUAAUGCAGUUGUGCCCACCGGCGUCCUUAACUGUUAUAUUGACAAGGUGCAUGAAGGGGUGGUCUACAAGUUCACCAAUUUUUCGGUGGUCCCUCGCCAACCAAUCCUAAAUCCCACUGAUGCAAUUUUCAUGAUAGUGUUCACACCCUCCACGAUUGUUACACACCAGUUCCACUUGAAUGAAACAUUCCCAGAGUGGACGCACAGGCUGACUCCGAUUGAUGCAUUGCCCCUGCCUAACGAUACUCCUCAAAACUACAUAGAUGUGAUCGGAGUUAUCACGGCGAUUUCCCCUAUUUGUAGCUUUGUGGUGCCUAACACCGUUAUCCACGUCAUGAAGAGAUGUGUGCUUCUAUCUAAUAACAAUGGCCAUGACGUUAUCAUUACACUAUGGGGUGAAAGGGCUGUUCGGUUUAAUGGCCAAAGUAUAUAUUCUAUGGGCCAGACAGAUCCGGCUGUUGCCAUAUUUGUUGGCACCACGGUUCGUACCUACGAAGGUGAGACGGAACUGGCAGGGGGCUGUGCCUGCAAAUGGUACAUCAAUGCUGACAUACCAGAUAUAAACAUAUUCAGAAGCAUGUUACAAGUCUCUUUUCCAGCAAUUGAAGAUCUUCUCAGCCCACCUGAGACUAUACUUCAGACACAGCUGACUGGUUUGUCUCCCAGGAAGUUAUUGGCCCAUCUGAUGAACAUUAACUUGUAUGAGAAAGAGCCUGGUAUCUUUCGAUGCACUAUUAAGAUUCAUAGGUUAUCGUCUGCAAAGAUGUGGUGGACCACCUUCUGCACAUCAUGCCACUCGAUGUCUUUACCGGCUACCUCGGCAUCUAGGCAGCCAAAUAUCUACAAGCGUACACGUCGUUCUUGCCUUUGCACAAACGCAACACUUAGGUACACUCUAUUUGUCAUCGGCAGAGAUCAUUCAGGAAAGGCUGAAUUUGCGUUGUAUGGUGCAGUAGCAGAGCGAAUUGUUGGCGCAUCUGCCAUACAAGUCCUUCGAAGGAACGCACGACGUGAAGCUGAAAUUCCCAAUGUCUAUGUGGCCGCAUCGCUACUCAAAAAGACUCCGGUUGAGUUCAAUUGUCUACUAUCCAUGAAAUGCAGCAACGGUUCUUUCCAUUCCACCUCAUUGGCCGCCGCCACCCUCUCCUGCUUUUCCCCGGUCUCCGGUCGACGCGAUUCGGAUUCCAGGCGCCGGGCUCCUUCGACGUGA